This 56-nucleotide small RNA is filed under the name unclassified sequences. Its description in RNAcentral is "Streptococcus sRNA SpF59 (ldcC RNA)". It matches the Rfam family "Streptococcus sRNA SpF59 (ldcC RNA)". The record is from Rfam by way of RNAcentral.
UGACCAUUCCAUUUACGUGGAAUCAAGGCCAUACGGACAGCCGGGUCAAAUGCCGA